CCUANGGGAGGCUGCAGUGGGGAAUUUUGGACAAUGGGCGAAAGCCUGAUCCAGCAAUGCCGCGUGCAGGAUGAAGGCCCUUGGGUCGUAAACUGCUUUUUUAGGGGAAGAAUUUGUGACGGUACCCUAAGAAUAAGAGGCUACUAACUCUGUGCCAGCAGUAGCGGUAAUACAGAGGCCUCAAGCGUUAUCCGGAUUCAUUGGGCGUAAAGAGCAUGUAGGCGGAUAUAUUAGUCAGAUGUCAAAUCUUCGAGCUUAACUCGAAAACUGCAUUUGAAACGGUAUAUCUCGAGAGAGUGAGAGAUUAAUGGAACAUAUGGUGUAGCAGUGAAAUGCGUUGAUAUCAUAUGGAACACCAAAGGCGAAGGCAUUUAAUUGGCACUCUUCUGACGCUGAGAUGCGAAAGCGUGGGUAGCGAAUGGGAUUAGAUACCCGGNUANUC
This 442-nucleotide ribosomal RNA is filed under the name uncultured bacterium. RNAcentral's name for it is "bacterial SSU rRNA". It matches the Rfam family "Bacterial small subunit ribosomal RNA", at positions 338 to 795 of the family's 1533-position model. The record is from RNAcentral.